This 3826-nucleotide long non-coding RNA is filed under the name Homo sapiens (human). Its description in RNAcentral is "non-protein coding LINC02204:16". Lineage: Eukaryota; Metazoa; Chordata; Mammalia; Primates; Hominidae. The record is from RNAcentral.
GGCAACCAGUUGGGGGUCCACUGCCGCAGUGUGGGAGGUUUGUUCUUUCGCUCUUUGCAAUAAAUCUUGUUACUGCUCACCCUGGGUCCACACUGCUUUUGUGAGUUGUAACACUCACUGGGAAGGUCUGCAGCUUCACUCCUCAAGCCCGGGAGACCGCGAGCCCACCGGGAGAAACGAACAACUCUAGACGCGCCGCCUUAAAAGCGGUAACAUUCACUGCGAAGGUCUGCAGCUUUACUCCUGAGCCAGCGAGACCACGAGCCCACCAGAAGGAAGAAACCCCGAAUACGUCUGAACGUCAGAAGGAACAAACUCCAGAAGCGCCACCUCAAGAGCUGUAACACUCACCGCGAGGGUCCGCGGCUUCAGUCUUGAAGUCAGUGAGACCAAGAACCCACCAAUUCGGGACACAAUACCUAUAAUCCCAGUACUUUAGGAGGCCAGGGCAGGCGGAUCAUCUGAGCUCAGGGGUUGGAGAGGAGCCUGAACAACAUACCGAAACCCCGUCUCUACAAAAAAUACAAAAAUUAACCGGUUGUGGUGGCCGGUGCCGGUAGUUCCAGCUAGUGGGGGACUGCGGAGGUGGGAGCUGAAGCGGGAGGAUCGCUUGAGCCUGGAGGUUGAGGCUGCAGUAAACAGGGAUUGCGUCAGGACACUCCAACCUGGGGAACAGAACGAUGCCCUAAAAGGCUGGCUGAGCUGACUGGAGUCCAAUCUCCUGACUCUCAAGUCCCCGCAUCAGAGGAACACAUUGUUUUCUUGGGAAGCCUUCAAGAGACAGUCAUGCAUGGUUUCCUGGUUGAAGGAUUAAUUAUCUGCUACCUGAUCUAAAGUUGAUAAAUGAAAAACAUCAGUAUUAACACAUGACAUGGAAAAAACACCAGAGGAGAAAAAACCACCAAAGGAAGAAAAACAAAAACUGUGAACAGUGAUGUCUCACCGGGGGUGGGAGCACAGCAGCAGACAUUUGUCAAAACUCACCCAACUCUAUAAUUUAAAUGUGUACAUUUUAUGGUAUAUAAAUGAUUCCUCAAUAAAGUUGAUUAAUCCAAAUAUAGUGGCCUUCAGAGAUGGCAGGGGUGAGUGAGAAGCCACUUUUUAUUGUUUGAUUUUGUUUAAAUAUGGAUUUUUACUUUAACAAUGUUUUUUAAAUUUAUAUUUAAAACGAUAUUAAAAAACAGAGUUUAGGCCUGGCAUGGUGGCUUACGCCCGUAAUCCCAACAUUUCAUGAGGCUGAGGCAGGAAGAACACUUGAGGCCAGGAGUCACAGACCAGCCUGGGUAACAUAGAGAGACCCUGUCUCUACAAAAAAUAAAAAUAAAAAUAAAUUAACUAGCUGGGCAUAGUGGCAUGAACCUAGCUACUAUGGAGGCUGAGGUGGGAGGAUCGCUUGAGCCCAGGAGUUCAAGGUUGCAGUGAGCUAUGAUUGCACCAUUGCAUUCCAGUCUGGGUGACAGAGUAAGACCCUGUCUGUGAAGAAACAGUGUUGUGUGGGGGUGUCGUGUUGGAUGGAGCUUAAGGCUCUACUGGCUUGGAUUCUUCCUGAGAUUUCAGGUCAGAAUUGAGGAGCAGGAUGUUUCCUCCGAGCCCCUUUUUACUCUUAUGGACAAGAGGGAUACUUGAGAAAUGAGAGUGCUGGUUCUUAUUAGAUUUGCCUGGGUAGCUAAAACAGUUACCAACACUGGGAUCCACCCCCAAGAGUUCCUGAUUUCACUGGCGUUUGAAAAAGCCCUCUUGGUGGCUCUAAUGGGCAGCCUGGCUGAGGACUACUGAAUUUGGUGAGGGAGCCCUGGGUGGCAAGGCAUGAGAAUUCAAGAUGGGAGGAUGGAUAGGUAAGGGGUAGGAGUCACCUAAUCACAUUCUCUCCCUUUACAGUGGGGAAACUGGCCCAGUGAGGGAAAGGGUCUUGCCCAAGGUGGGGUGGCAAGUCAGUGGCCCCUGGCUGAGGCUAGAACAUGGGCUGCCUGACUCCUGGCCUUGUGCUCAUUUCUUCACACCUCGAGGGUUCCAUAGGCUUGACUUGGGAAGGGCAGUAAUACACGUGCAGGGGUUUGCUGAGCACCCGCUGCCUGCUAGGCCCUAUGCUAGAUGCUGUGUGUGGCUUCUCUCCUUCAAUCUUCCUGCCACCCUGUAACUCCUGUCUCCUAUGUUAUACUUUAGCUAAGAGCUGCUUAGAGAAGUUAAAUGACUCACCUUAUUUUGUGCCAUUCUCAUUAGGCUUUAACCUAAUAUUUCUCAACAUGUGGCUCUAAGAAAUAUUUUUCUCUAAAUUUCUUGGAAUGCUUAUUAAAAAUGCAGAUCCCUGGGCUGCACCCUAGACCUGUGGAAUCAGAAUUUCUGGAGGUAGGAUUCAAGAAAGUACAUUUUAACCAAUAUUCUUAAGCCCACAAACAAUUGAGAGCCACCACUCCCAGGAGCCUUCUUUGCAUCACUUGAGCAGACCAACCCUUCCCGCCCCAGGGCCUUUGCAACUACUGUUUCCUCUGCCUGCUGAACAACCUCAUCUGCAACUCACUCUUAAGUCUAAGCUUUCCCUGGGAUGUCUUUUGACUCUUUAGACAAGGAAAGGUCUUCCCAUUGCACGCUCCUUUGCACAGUAGAUGUUUCCUCUGUGGCACUUACUACGAUGGUAACUUACAAAACAACAUGUGUGAUGUUUUGUUUCAUGUCUUUUCCCUGCUACACUACGAGCCUCAUGUCCAUUGUGUCCACUGGGUUGCUCACAACUCCUGGCCCCAUGCUUGGCACCCAGCAGGGGUUAAACAAGCAGUCCGGUUACACAGCCAGAGACGAGCAGAGCCGGGAUUCAACCCCAGACCUGUCUGAUACCGGGUCUACUUCUAAACCUGCAUGGUGGACUGCCCCAGAAAAGCAACGACCCAGACCAGACAUGAGGGUCCUAACCAGUCGCUCAUUCUCCAGCCCCCUAAGCCACUCUGCUUAUUCACAACUAGUAGUUCCUUUUGAUAAAUACUGAUAACCAAUAAUUAAGGGGCCAUUGAGAGCUUGGAUCUUCCCCUACAGGCACAACACCAGGCACUGUGAUAUCAAAGCACAGACAAAAUCAAGUUUCAUGUCCUGGCAAUUACUGCAAGCAGUCCCAAACAGCCAGACACACUGCAUAAGCUCAGUGAAGACCUGAGUCUCUGUCCUUUCAGAUGUUCUGAUAGCAUCUUGAAUGAAAGUUCCACCUGGGCCCAGCGUGCAAUAGUAAUAGUAGUAAUGGAUUCAGACAAAUGAGAAUUUACCAGGUCAGUAGGCCUGGCCUGCCCCUGCCCCACACCCACCCCCAGGCUCAUUCCCAAGCAGAGCAUGACAGGCACUGGGAUUUACUCAAAAGUUUGCUCUAGUCCUGGUCUGGAGAAACUCUCUGUGUUCAGGCAUGCCAGAGACCAGAAGUGAUCUAAGAGGUGCUUAACAAGCUGUAAUGCGUGUCAAGAAAAACUGUAAAAGACUAAAAUGGUGGGAAAAAAGAAAGGGAAAGAGAUAGACUACUGGAUGUCCCAGCGUACCCUUCUGGGGGUUUUGUUUUUUCUCAGUCUUUCAUUAUCUGAGCUAUUUUACAAUUCUGCAAAUUGUAAAAAACUGAUGGUAAUGCAAAUGAUUCUUGUCCAUAUAAAUAUAAAUUAUGUCCAAUGCAAUGCAACUGAUUAUUGCCCUAUAGAUUUUUUUUUUUUGCCAGUUUUGCAUCUGUUUGUAAAUUCACUUCAGAUUCCUGAUGACCUAUAUUAUGUGUCUACUUUUGCAUUCUCCUUUGAAUUGAUUGUAACAUCUUAGUGGUUUCCUCAUUAAUGAAUGAGUGAAAUAAAACUUUUGAUCCAGG